Cebus imitator (Panamanian white-faced capuchin) is the source of this 2994-nucleotide long non-coding RNA. RefSeq lists it as uncharacterized. Lineage: Eukaryota; Metazoa; Chordata; Mammalia; Primates; Cebidae. The transcript has 4 exons. The record is from RefSeq and is a predicted model, not a curated record.
AGGCUGCAGCCUUCGCCCGAGCCUCCUCCCUUCGCCCCGCCCCUCGGCACAGGGGACGUGCGCUGUGCAGCCGGCGCUCUCUGAUUGGCUGCCGCGUCAGGGUUCCACGCCGCCAUUGUGCCGUGGGCGGCCGUCAGCGCCUGCGUGCACAAGGUGGGGAACGGGCUUUGGGAGUUUCUGGAAGUCGGAGGCGGGGGAGUGGUCACUCGCAGCCAGCGCAGGCGGGGCCAGGCACAAAGUUGAGAGCAGUCCCUAGUCUGAGUGUUUCCGUCGCCCUCCCGCACCGUCGGUACCACGGACUCCACCCUGCAGCGGCUCCUCGGCGACGCGGUGCAGCUGCCACUUGACCAGAUUCUCCAGCCUUCCCGGGAGCCGCACCACCUGCUGUCUUGGCACUUCAUGAGUCCAAUGCUGCUUCCCAAGAGGAUCUGGUUGGUAGACCAUGACCUUGAUUCCUGCCUCUAAGCCUUGCUUUAUUCUCAGAGCCACCACCUUUUUGGUACUAGAACAGUGCUUUUUCUAGUACACUCAUCAGUGGAUGCUGAAAUCACAACCUGGCCAUUUGGAUGUUCAACUAAUGCUUUAUGCCGCAGCAUCCCUGGAACUCACCGGAGCUCAGGCCCUGUGCCAGGCACUAGGCAUGCCCUCCAGGGAGCUCCAGAUUUGGACACGGACAACGACAGCUCAGAGAGACAGAGGAACCUGGCCUAAGUCUAAUGGGCCCUUCUGUCCACUCCCAGGACCCCCCAGUCCUUUGCAGAACAGAAAUGGGGGUGACGCUGGCUCAGCUUAAACGGCUGCAUCAUCAGUUCCAGCCUCUACAAGUGUGCCAGGCUGGGUGAGGCAACGCCAGGCACCAGGCACUGGGUGGUAUCAUCAUCCCCAUUUUGCAGAUUAAGAGAUGAGGGCAUGGAGAGGCGGAGGUAUUUGCCCAGGGCCACACAACUGGCAAGCAGCAGAGGUGGGAUCCAAACACUGGAAAAAGCUUGGUAAGGAAGGGGCCAUUCUGUCUCUCUCUGGGACGUUGGGAGGAUGAAACUAACAAAUGCCCAUGAACCCUUCAAAGGGGGCUGGCACAGGGCAGGCACUGGACAAGCAGGAGCUUUGAUUCUGACCCAAGACUGCAGGACAGAAAGACAGGUCAGAAGCCAGACGCUAAUCCAGGGCGCCUGUCCACACCCACCCUGUGAUUGGGAAGGCAGAGACUGCUCAGCAGACCUGGUUACAGCAAUUACAAGUGAAGCCUUUGUAAACUGUGAAGUGGUGGCGAAACCAAAGGCCUGACCCUCCCCAUCUGCCCUGCACACAGCGGGUCCUCUGCACCCCAGGAAUUGGACAGAGGGGACAGAAUAUGGAGGGAGGUCUUCCCCAUCCACUCCUUACCUGGCUGGAGAAGGGCAGGCCCAGCCUCUGAAGAGCGGGCACUGUGUGGCUGGCAUUGGCCACCAUCUGCAGCGGGCCAUGCAGUGGCCAAGCCACCAGGGCUGCCAGGUCCACGCUGACACCACCAUCCCUGCCACGGAGGGCCACGUUGGCCUGGGUCUGGGACUCGAGACAGAAAAUGGCACAGGCUACUGAAGACAGGUUCACCUUCCUUCCCAGCCCAAGAACACACCAGACUUUAGGAGGGGCCAUGCCCUGUGGCCCUAAAACACAACACCAGCGGGAAAGGUGGGGUCAACCCCUUUUGAGCCUCCUUGACAUCAUCUGUCAUCAUUUGUCCCUGAGGAUCUAGGCCUGGGUGGCUCCUCCUUUCAUUGAAGUUGAAGUUGUUGAAAUGAUACCUCCUCCAAGAAGCCUCCCCUGACUACCCCUCUGAAGUGCCUCCCAAUUCUUUGCUGCCAGGCAUCCUCCAUCCAUCUCCCUGGAGUGGGGUUCCCAGCACAACCCAAAAUGACCUCACUCAUUUACUUACUAGGUUCCUGCUCCCCUACUGCCACUCCAUGAGAAUGCCAGCCCCCCGGGGGUGGGGUUUCUCUUAGGACAGCCCCUGACACACAACAGGGGGUCAGUGAGUAUUUUCCGAAUGACUGAGGGAGGCUGCUUCUCUGUAGGAAUUCUUGGGGAUUCUCUGAGCAGCCUACAGAUGAAUCAGCAUGAGGUCUGCUCUUGAUAAAUGGCCGCUGUGGCCCAAUACCCACCUGCAGCCACCUGGCCCUGGCUGGAGGGUCCCAUGCCUCCCAUCACCCCCCACAGAAGAGGAGAGUCUGGCUCACAAUAGGAGUUUCUUCUUGGACUUAAAUUCCCACUGCUACACAUAGAAACCCAGCGGGUCCAGGAGCCCCCCAAGCAAACAGAUGGCACCUACUCUAUGUCAGAUGCCAGAUUCCCGUGGGGUGCAGCUCAUGGCUCAGGCCCAAGUGACACUCAGCCAGGCUCCAGCACCUCCCAUCUGGCCAGCAGAGUGGAUAAGCCCCAUAGCUCUGAGCCUCAACUUCCUUAUCAAUAAGGUGGGCACAGCCUGCCCACCUCAAGGGACAGUAUCCAGAGUAAAUGGGGUAACACAUGGGAGAGGACUACCUGUGAGGCAUGCAGGAGGCCUGGGAAACUCUUCCUUCCUUCCUUCCUUCCUCAUUCCACACUGAACCAUGUGUACCUACUACGUGCAGGCCAAGAGGAGGGAGGGGACACAAUUCCCACUCCCAGGAGUGCCUGGCUGUCAGAGAUACCAAGAAUAUUAACAGGCAGAAAGUGUCCCCAAGAGGGGGUACAUCAGACUGUGGACAGCCAUGGGAGGAGGGAGAGGUCACUCCUGGCUGGGGGCGGCCACACCAGGCAUCCUGGGCCAGGAAUUGGAGCGGCGUGAAAGUGUUCAUCCAGAAUGACCUCCCGUCACUCCAUCACUUCUCCCCAACAAAUUCUGAGGUCAGCUCAGACUAGCGACAAUUUCCUCAUGUGACCCAGUCCUCCGUUCACCCCUCAGGAGGCUGAGGGCCAAAAAUAAAGUUUUCGUUGGUUUUGUUUGUUUAUUUUUUUUGAGAUGGAGUCUCACUC